GGAAGUGAGGACGACCUGGCUGUGACAUCUGUCAUUCCAUUGGUGGCCAGGGUUGAUUCGGCUGAUCUGGCUGACUAGGUGGGCGUCCCCUUCCUCCCUCUCUGCUCCAUGUGUUUCCCUCCCGAAGCUGUGUGCCUGGUCAGAGAGGAUGACCACCCCCGACAGAGGAGGACCAUUUUCUCUGUUAAGGGUAUAGGAGCAGCUGUGCUCCCCGGCUAGAACCUCCAAACAAGCUCUCAAAAAAACUUCUACCAAGACCUUUGCCAGUGUAAAAGAGAGGAAGCCAGAGCACAGAAGCCAGGAGACGAAAGCCAGUGCUCACAAAGCAGCCAGGUCUUCCAACCAGUACGCUGCACUGUGGCCUAAGGC
Molecule: non-coding RNA, 369 nt
Organism: Cavia porcellus (domestic guinea pig)
Lineage: Eukaryota; Metazoa; Chordata; Mammalia; Rodentia; Caviidae
Rfam family: 7SK RNA
About the family: 7SK was discovered as an abundant small nuclear RNA in the mid-70s but a possible function has only recently been suggested.
Source: Rfam